RNAcentral lists this ribosomal RNA (478 nucleotides) under uncultured bacterium. RNAcentral's name for it is "partial 16S ribosomal RNA". It matches the Rfam family "Bacterial small subunit ribosomal RNA", at positions 28 to 507 of the family's 1533-position model. The record is from RNAcentral.
GAUGAACGCUGGCGGCGUGCUUAACACAUGCAAGUCGAACGGGAAACCUUUUAUUGAAGCUUCGGCAGAUUUAGCUGGUUUCUAGUGGCGGACGGGUGAGUAACGCGUGGGUAACCUGCCUUAUACAGGGGGAUAACAACCAGAAAUGGUUGCUAAUACCGCAUAAGCGCACAGGACCGUAUGGUCCGGUGUGAAAAACUCCGGUGGUAUAAGAUGGACCCGCGUUGGAUUAGCUAGUUGGCAGGGUAACGGCCUACCAAGGCGACGAUCCAUAGCCGGCCUGAGAGGGUGAACGGCCACAUUGGGACUGAGACACGGCCCAGACUCCUACGGGAGGCAGCAGUGGGGAAUAUUGCACAAUGGGGGAAACCCUGAUGCAGCGACGCCGCGUGAAGGAAGAAGUAUCUCGGUAUGUAAACUUCUAUCAGCAGGGAAGAUAGUGACGGUACCUGACUAAGAAGCCCCGGCUAACUACGUG